GACGAACCGUGCGAACGUUGUUCGGAAUCACUGGGCUUAAAGGGCGCGUAGGCGGUUCAUCAAGUCAGGGGUGAAAUCUUUCGGCUCAACCGGAAAAGUGCCCCUGAUACUGAUGAUCUCGAGGGAGGUAGGGGUCCGCGGAACUUCUGGUGGAGCGGUGAAAUGCGUUGAUAUCAGAAGGAACGCCGGUGGCGAAAGCGGCGGACUGGAUCUCUUCUGACGCUGAGGCGCGAAAGCCAGGGGAGCAAAC
RNAcentral lists this ribosomal RNA (250 nucleotides) under uncultured bacterium. RNAcentral's name for it is "partial 16S ribosomal RNA". It matches the Rfam family "Bacterial small subunit ribosomal RNA", at positions 524 to 773 of the family's 1533-position model. The record is from RNAcentral.